CUCAAUUAUCAAGACUUUAAUAAAAUUAUGUUUGUCCGAUAUCAAUUAUAUGAGUAGUUUAUAAUAGAAAAAUUAUUUGCAGCAAAAAAUCAGUAGUUCUAAAGUCAAUUAGUUUAUAAUUUUGAGACAUAAUAACUCAUCUAAGAUCCUAAAGUGAAGAACUUUCUCAGGAAUCAAAAAUAAAUCUCGUAACUUAAUACUAGUCUUACCUUUUCCUUCCAAAGUUAACGCAUUACUUUUUUUCAUAGCCCAAGAGCACAUAUCACAAGUAGUCACCCCAUCAGGACUAAUAUCUUCAAGAAACAUUGGUCUAGGAGGCGGAGGAACGAAACUAAGGAAACCGGUUUCGGAAAAAUCGAAAGACUCUUCAUGGUCGUAUGGCCAGUACUCUAGGUCUUCGCUGUAGGUUGAGCUUGAAGGAUUAUGCCCAAUAAAUAUAUCCGAAAACGAAACGCACCUAAAAGAGGUUCUUGGACGGCUAGAGCAUUAGGUGAUGCAGUUGAUGCUGUGAAGAAUGGCGGUAUGGGCUUUAACAUAGCCGCGAAAGCAUUUGGGAUCCCAAAAACAACUUUUAAGCGCAGAUUAAAAGCAAAUAACAUCGAUAGCUGUAAUCCUCUGGGGCCAGAUUGUUCUUUGGGCUCGAACGUCGAAACAAAAAUAGUCAGUCACAUAAAAAAACUGAAAAAGGCUGGCUUUGCACCCACCAGAACAGAAGUAAGAAUCAUGGCGUUUAAUUUAGCUGAACGACUGGGAAUUCCAAAUAAAUUUAAUAAAAAAGAAGGUAAAGCUGGCCAAAAAUGGUUAGAACUGUUUUUAAAGCGAAGACCUGAAAUUUCAUUCAGAAAAUCCGAGAACACCUCAAUUGCGCGAGCUUUGGGAAUGUCAAGAGAAACCGUUAAUAAUUACUUUUCGGAUCUACAGAGAAUUAUGACUGAACACAAUUUUUAUGAUAAACCCGGGCAUAUAUUCAAUACAGACGCAACAGGAUUACAGCUAAACACUACGGCUGGUCAGGUACUAGCCGAAAAAGGAUCAAAAUGUGUUCCAAGCGUACGCCCUGGGGAAAAGAGUGAGACAAUUAGUGUCAUAGUAUGUUGUAGCGCAGAAGGCGCUUUUAUGCCCCCAUAUUGUAUUUUCAAAGGAAAAAAUUAAAAAGAAGACUGGCAUGAAGGUAUGCCACCGGGUUCUAAAAUUAGAAUAUUGGAAAAAUCUGCUUAGGUUAAUAGCGAGAUUUUUUUAGAAUGAUUACGAACACAUUUUCUACCAAGAAAGCCCUCGGGUAAAACUUUACUAAUAGUAGAUGGCUACAUGUCCCAUACGACCAACCUGGACCUACUAGAAUUUGCAAAAUGAUAUAAUUUUGUUUUGUUUACCAUCGCAUACCACUCACUACCUGCAGCCUUUUGAUCGCGCCUUCUUUAAAUCUCUUAAAAGCAACUUCUACGCUGAAUGCCGUUUUAUGGUUCAAAAUAACCCAAACAGGGUCCUUAAUCGUCUUCAAUUUGGUAAACUGUUAGGUCGAGCAUAGGGAAACUCAGCAACUGUUCAAAAAGCGACCUCUACAUUUAAAUCUACUGGGAUUUAUCCAUUUAAUUUGUUAAUUAUCCCGGAAUAUGCUUUUUUAAUACAGACACCCCUUGAAAAUCCUGAAACAGAAACAUUACAGACGGUCCAGACGGAUAACUUAUCAGUUAGAGCUGAGUCUCCUCAACCAGGCCCCUCCGGAAUUCAAAAUCUCAGUCAACAAGUCAUCAGUAUCUGAUGAAGAUAUAACUCCCGGAAAGGCCCUUAUUGAAGUAACGCCUGUACCUGUUUUAUCUGCAGCAGUGAAAAGAGUUCGUAAAAAAAUAUCCGGAGAGAUAACUGCUAAGGAAUUUAUAAAAAUAAGAAAGAUGCACAACUCAAAAAGAACGUAAAACCUGUAAGAAAAUUAAAAAGUAAGAGAAAGGUGAGUGAAUCUUUAGUGUCUGAAGAUGACGUUACCCUUGAUGACAGUUCCAGUGGUGAAGAAAACUUUAGUGAUUUAGAAAAUGAAUGUGUCGGUU
Molecule: long non-coding RNA, 2045 nt
Organism: Anthonomus grandis grandis
Lineage: Eukaryota; Metazoa; Arthropoda; Insecta; Coleoptera; Curculionidae
Exons: 3
Source: RefSeq, a predicted model, not a curated record